UACGCCGGCGGCGGCCUAACCAUGCAAGUCGAGCGAUGAAAUCCCUUCGGGGAUGGAUUAGCGGCGGCACGCGGUGAGGUAACACGAUGGAGCAACCUGCCUCAAAGUGGGGGAUAGCCUCCCGAAAGGGAGAUUAAUACCGCAUAAUAUUAAAUCUUCACAUGAAGAACUAAUUAAAGGAGCAAUCCGCUUUGAGAUGGGCCCGCGGCGCAUUACCUAGUUGGUGAGGUAAUGGCUCACCAAGGCGACCAUGCGUAGCCGACCUGAGAGGGUGAUCGGCCACAUUGGAACUGAGACACGGUCCAGACUCCUACGGGAGGCAGCAGUGGGGAAUAUUGCACAAUGGGGGAAACCCUGAUGCAGCAACGCCGCGUGAGUGAUGAAGGUCUUCGGAUUGUAAAGCUCUGUCUUUUGGGACGAUAAUGACGGUACCAAAGGAGGAAGCCACGGCUAACUUACGUGCCAGCAGCCGCGGUAAUACGUAGGUGGAGAGCGUUGUCCGGAUUUACUGGGCGGUAAAGGGUGCCAAGGCGGAUAUUUAAGUGGGAUGUGAAAUACCCGGGGCUCAACUUGGGUGCUGCAUUCCAAACUGGAUAUCUAGAGUGCGGGAGAGGAGAGUGGAAUUCCUAGUGUAGCGGUGAAAUGCGUAGAGAUUAGGAAGAACACCAGUGGAGAAGGCGACUCUCUGGACCGUAACUGACGCUGAGGCACGAAAGCGUGGGGAGCAAACAGGAUUAGAUACCCGUGGUAGUCCACGCCGUAAACGAUGAAUACUAGGUGUAGGAGGUAUCGACCCCUUCUGUGCCGCAGUUAACACAAUAAGUAUUCCGCCUGGGGAGUACGGUCGCAAGAUUAAAACUCAAAGGAAUUGACGGGGGCCCGCACAAGCAGCGGAGCAUGUGGUUUAAUUAGAAGCAACGCCAAAGAACCUUACCUAGACUUGACAUACCCUGAAUUACCGGUAAUGCGGGAAGCCCUUCGGGGCAGGGAUAAAGGUGGGGGCAUGGUUGUCCUCACCUCGGGCCGGGAAAAGUUAAGGUUAAGUCCUGCAACAACCCCAACCCCUAUUAUUAGUUGCUACCAUUAACUUGAGCACUCCAGUAAGAAUGCCUGGGUUAACCAGGAGGAAGGCGGGGAUAAAGUCAAAUUCAUCAUGCCCCUUAUGUCUGGGAAGGGGUACACACAGUGCUACAAUGGGCGGUACAAAAAGAUGCAAACUCGCGAGAGUGAGCCAAACUUUAAAACCGCCCCCAGUUCGGAUUGUAGGCUGAAACUCGCCUACAUGAAGCCGGAGUUGCUAGUAAUCGCGAAUCAGCAUGUCGCGGUGAAUACGUUCCCGGGCCUUGUACACACCGCCCGUCACACCAUGAGAGCUGGCAACACCCGAAGUCCGUGAGGUAACCGUAAGGAGCCAGCCGGCCGAAGGGGGUGUUU
RNAcentral lists this ribosomal RNA (1434 nucleotides) under Clostridium scatologenes. RNAcentral's name for it is "bacterial SSU rRNA". It matches the Rfam family "Bacterial small subunit ribosomal RNA". The record is from RNAcentral. Lineage: Bacteria; Bacillati; Bacillota; Clostridia; Eubacteriales; Clostridiaceae.